Molecule: long non-coding RNA, 1605 nt
Organism: Raphanus sativus (radish)
Lineage: Eukaryota; Viridiplantae; Streptophyta; Magnoliopsida; Brassicales; Brassicaceae
Exons: 5
Source: RefSeq, a predicted model, not a curated record
AAAUGCGACGGAGUAAACGAGUUUUACGUUUCUGUAACAGUUCUUCUUCUCCGAUCGAACAGCAUAGAAACUCAGCCGACUCUCAUCAAUCAAUACCGUUCUUUACUUCCAUCAAUCAUUUUAUUCUUAACGAUUUCGUUUCGCCUCCCUCUUUUCCUCCUCCUUUAUAUACCCAUAUUCUUUUCUUUCAACAAACUACAUCCGGCUUUUCUGAUAUCGGUAAACAUAUCCAUCCGGCUUCACAUUUUGUUAAUCUAUUGCAACCUUCCCUGGUAGUCAUUUUCUCCAACCAUGUUGUUGGUGAUUUCAAUUUAAGCUCAGCUUGGUCGUGUCGAGGAAGAGACUAAAGGCAUCGUCUUGAUCCGUGAGAAGCUUUGGCUGAUCACGAGUGAAAAGAAGUUGUUUUUGUCAGGAAGAAGAUUGAUCCUGUCAACAAAGAAUUCUCAACAAGCCAAUCUGUAAAGCUACCACCAGCAGCAGAGAAUCCUCCAGCUGAUCUAGAAAAGGUGAAACGGGUAUCACAGUUUAACAAUCAAGGUUUGUGUCUACUCUAUUAAUUUUCAUUAUUUGUUCUGCUCAAAAUAAUUUCGUUCGAUUCCUUAUGAUGUUAGCUUGAUUCUUAAAAAAAAACUGCAAGGUCAUAUCAUUGUUUUCCAUCCACAUAAUCUCCUUUUUUUUUACAUAAUCUCCUUUCUAUUUAAGCAAGAAGUCAGACAUGGAAAUAAGAUCAAAAGGAAUGUUAGUUUAGAAGCGUAACCAGUGUUCCGUUCCUGUCGGAGCGCCGCCACCGAGGACCAUAGUCAGAAUCAAGUAUAGUUCUGUCUACCAUGAGAUUAAUAUCAGUCCUCAAGCUUCAUUUGGCAGGGGAAUAACUUAAAGAAUUGUAAUAUAUAUAAUUUAAGUUUAACUGAAAGCUUUUUGGUAACCCACUACUUCAUCUUUAUUGCUUCUUAUCUUCCUUUUCAAGGACGCUGACGGAGUAUAUAAUUAGACAGUCUGAGAGUCUUCACAUGCAUUCAUAUGGUACUUCAAUCAUAGAACCCUAGAUAUCUCUCAGCACUCUCCAAGAAGUGAUUCAUUUCUCUGAGCUAAAGGUUUUUGUAUCAUGAUCUUGAAGUACAAUGGUGGAAAGCUGAGAGAUGAGACCAAGCUUAAAAGUGCUGUCCAGAUGCAAGACCUAUUAGAUGCGCAAGAAUGUUAGGUCCCAAAACAAGGGCUGGGACCGUGUUCUGAUAGUGUCCAUGUUAGUAUGCCUGUCAACAGCACUGGACUCGGUGCUGACAUUGAACCUCCUGUAACCAGUACCGGUCUCCCUGGUGUGGCCAUGGAUGAAGGCAUCCGAUGCAAUCACAGUUGAGGGAGGUAGCCCCUCUGCAAAGAAGCCACUUCAAAAACUCAACCAUCGGACAUCAUUACGCAUAAGUGUAGUGUCACAACUACUCUUUUUUUUUGUCACAACUACUCUACUAGCUCUUCUUUUUUAAUUCCGCAAAAUGAAACAAGUUUUCUUGCAGCACUGUGUUUCUGUGUUUUUCGAUAAUAAACGGAAUAAUAUUAUUAUAUGAAGGGAAAUAAACGGAAGGAGGCAUGGCGAGCCAGCUACCA